ACAUAAAUAGUAAACAGCAGCCCAUGGCACCACGGAGGAUGAUUCAUAUGAGAAGAUGAAUGGAAUCCCAGUCUCGCUGCAGAUAAAGAAGAGAUGGAAGAAGGCCGUGUGAAUGAAAGAGAUGCAGAGAAAUGGACAACUGCAAUCAAAAUGCAAUUAACUGAGAGCUUAUUUUUAAAAUGUAAACCUUUAGGGGCAGCUACUGGAUGACAACUAAUUAUAUAUAUUUUAAAUAUAAAUAGCCUAUAUCAAUUAUACAUUACAUUAAAAAAAAACAACAACCUUGAGAUUGAAAUCAAAAUGGACUACUUGCUUCAAAGACUUUUAGGGCACAAUUAAACACAGCAAAGAAACAAUGACACACAAGCCAUGUUUCACUUUCCAAUCAAAUCCUGAAUUGCACUCAAAAUGUUGCAUGGCAUAAUAUUAAAAGGUGUUUUUUUUUUUUUUUAAACCUUUUUAUAAUUGUUUUUUUAUAUAUUUGUAUUACGUUGUUUUUUUUUUUUUUUUGUUUUUUUUUUACAGUUUUUACCUGUUUCUUUCUUUUGGCCCCUUUAAAGUCACACUAUGCACAUUUUCGCCGCUAGAGGGCGUUUAUUCAAAAUAAACAAAGACAACUACCCAGUAGCCGA
Long non-coding RNA from Carassius auratus (goldfish), 632 nucleotides. RefSeq lists it as uncharacterized. Lineage: Eukaryota; Metazoa; Chordata; Actinopteri; Cypriniformes; Cyprinidae. The record is from RefSeq and is a predicted model, not a curated record. The transcript is spliced from 2 exons.